AGGAACGCUACGUUCACCUUCAAGUCAAGUGACGGUACCAACUGGAACAAGUUCGAGGCUCAGGUGGAUGGCGCUAAGGACGUCGUGAAGUACGACCUGCUGUACGUGGACUGUGACCAUUGCAAGGUCAUGAAGUGCCCGACAAGCUCGAAAUGUCUGCUGUCGGUGCGAGAGUCCGCCCUCCGGCAUGGAGUGCCCCAGCACUGCAACUUUGUCUACGACUUGUGUUGCGGCACAUCAUCAAAGCACCAGAUCUCGGACGCCAGCUGCCUCGCCGACAGAGUGGAGACAAGCUUUUGAAAAUGAAGACAAACAAGCUCUCGCUCGCACAGUACAUUUGACGCGAAAAGGCAGAGAAUAAACUG
Rhipicephalus sanguineus (brown dog tick) is the source of this 365-nucleotide long non-coding RNA. RefSeq lists it as uncharacterized. NCBI's taxonomy places the organism in Eukaryota, Metazoa, Arthropoda, Arachnida, Ixodida, Ixodidae. The transcript is spliced from 3 exons. The record is from RefSeq and is a predicted model, not a curated record.